UGAAUUUUUAAACGUAACGCUUGCACGACUAUUUGUCUCGUCGCUUCUACGUGAUAAAACGACGUUUGGAGAAUAGAAUUAUACUUGAAAAUAUUGAGUUCUCCGUAUGGAUUGAGACAAGUUUAAAAUUUAUUUGUCAAUCGCAACUCUGAGGAAGAAUUCGGAGAUUCUGAGGAGCUAGUUUAAUUCUUUAAUUUUACACAUAUUUUUUAAUCAUCAAGGAAGCAAUCAUUUUCAAUAUUUCUUUCGAUAUAUACAUAUACAUACGAUACUGUGAUAUUCUACGACGAAGUUAAAUGUACAUCGAUUGCCAGAUGAAAAACGCAAACUCCUAUGUCUCCCGCAUUGUCAUUUUGUAGUGAAGAGAUUAUAACGGAAAAAUAAUGCCUACGCAAUGCUCGUAGAGAUACUUGAAGAAUCGAGAAAUCAACGAGAACGUGUCAAACUUAGACUUCGAGCGUUGGAUCAUCGACUCCUCGUCGCUUUGAUCGGCAUUCUGCAUCGACAUCUGCAUCAGCUUGGUAACGAGUGCAGGAUUUGUCCGUAUCACUGGAAGUAGCAUUUUCGCAGGUAUUUGAAUUAAAUUCUAGCGACACGCGUUGCAAUCUGUCAAGCCCAAUCGCAGAUUUCAAGAGGAGGAAGAACGUCGACUUAAUCCGUACGUGCGAGAGUUGAGAACUGGCUUCCGAGACUAUUCCACGUCGUUUUGUAUGAAGCCGCCGACAUCGGCGUCACCGGCGGCCGCUGACGCCGUCGUAGCCGCCGUUGACGCCGACACAGCCGUGGCCGCUGUUGCCGUCAUCGCCGCCGCCGCCGAUCAUAUAUUUUGUUAAUUCCUCAAAUGCACCCAACCGAUCCAUUCGAAUCAUUUAGUACCGCAUUGAAAUCUCCGUUGAUUAGAUAGCUGCAAUCAGGGGGAGAUAGUAAUUUUCUAUGAGAACGUAUCUGGAAACGAAAUACGGGUCAUGCGACGCAAGAAGGCGCCGAAACCGCCGCCGCCGCCGUUGUUGUACGCCGCGUAUCGUCUAGCCGCCAAUGCGUAUGCGAAGUAUUCCCGCAGUAUUCGGCGAUGCUGCCCCUGAGAAUGCUCUCUUCGUAAUGACGAUACCACGCCCAUGCUUUCAUCUAAUUUACAAAGCGUAAGCCUCGUUCGAUGCAAACUACAACGCAAGGCGUUGGCGAUGGUUUACAAUUAAUUAGAGCAGUAGGAGCGCGUUGUAAUUUAAUUAAAUAAUACAAAAUUAAUUGUAAUAUUCUUUCUACAGAAUUCAGUCGAAUACAUCUAAUAGUUUCUUAUCUCGUCAAAAUUGUGUUUUCUACUAAAAUCUAUUUUUUAAAUUAUAAUUAUGGAUAAUUGAGAGAAAAAGAAAGAAACAUCGUGCAAGAUAAGAAAGCACAAUAGUCAACUAAAAAUAUUAGGCUAU
This is a long non-coding RNA of Odontomachus brunneus, 1424 nucleotides long. RefSeq lists it as uncharacterized. The transcript has 4 exons. Lineage: Eukaryota; Metazoa; Arthropoda; Insecta; Hymenoptera; Formicidae. The record is from RefSeq and is a predicted model, not a curated record.